This 498-nucleotide ribosomal RNA is filed under the name uncultured bacterium. RNAcentral describes it as "bacterial SSU rRNA". It matches the Rfam family "Bacterial small subunit ribosomal RNA", at positions 791 to 1304 of the family's 1533-position model. The record is from RNAcentral.
UAGUCCACGCCCUAAACGAUGCUAACUCGAUAUUUGGAUCUAGGUCUGAGUGUCUAAGGGAAACCAAUAAGUUAGCCACCUGGGGAGUACGUUCGCAAGAAUGAAACUCAAAGGAAUUGGCGGGGACCCGCACAAGCAGCGGAGCGUGUGGUUUAAUUCGAGGCAACGCGAAGAACCUUACCGGGCCUUGACAUAUACGUGGUACUGAUUGGAAACAUGAUGGACUCUUCGGAGAGCGUAUACAGGUGCUGCAUGGCUGUCGUCAGUUCGUGCCGUGAGGUGUUCGGUUAAGUCCGAUAACGAGCGCAACCCACGUCGUCAGUUACAAGUGUCUGGCGAGACUGCCGGUGAUAAGCCGGAGGAAGGUGUGGAUGGACGUCAAGUCAGCAUGGCCUUUAUGGUCCGGGCUACACACACGCUACAAUGGUCGAUACAAUGGGUANCGAAGCCGCGAGGUGAAGCCAAUCNCGCAAAGUCGAUCUCAGUUCGGAUUGCAGG